GACGAACGCUGGCGGCGUGCUUAACACAUGCAAGUCGAACGGAAAGGCCCUGCUUUUGUGGGGUGCUCGAGUGGCGAACGGGUGAGUAACACGUGAGUAACCUGCCCUUGACUUUGGGAUAACUUCAGGAAACUGGGGCUAAUACCGGAUAGGAGCUCCUGCUGCAUGGUGGGGGUUGGAAAGUUUCGGCGGUUGGGGAUGGACUCGCGGCUUAUCAGCUUGUUGGUGGGGUAGUGGCUUACCAAGGCUUUGACGGGUAGCCGGCCUGAGAGGGUGACCGGCCACAUUGGGACUGAGAUACGGCCCAGACUCCAACGGGAGGCAGAAGUGGGAAAUAUUGCACAAUGGGCGGAAGCCUAAUGCAGGAACGCCGCGUGCGGGAUGACGGCCUACGGGUUUUAAACCGUUUUCGCCUGUGACGAAGCGUGAGUGACGGUAAUGGGUAAAGAAGCACCGGCUAACUACGUG
RNAcentral lists this ribosomal RNA (468 nucleotides) under uncultured bacterium. Its description in RNAcentral is "partial 16S ribosomal RNA". It matches the Rfam family "Bacterial small subunit ribosomal RNA", at positions 28 to 507 of the family's 1533-position model. The record is from RNAcentral.